UUUGCCCAGCAAAAAGCUCUUGCCUGCUGAGCCACAUCCCCAGCCCCUGCUGCAGCUUCUUCAUUUAGAAAGGACUCCAGCACUGGACCCCAGCAUGCAUCUCAGUUUGUGUGUUCCCAGUGGAGAAGCCAAGCGGGAAAGAGAGGCACAGCCAAUCGCACUUCACACAAGUAUCGAGUCUGUGGUCCCAGUGUGAGCCCCAUUGAAAUGGGAAAGCAGGAGAGCGACCCCAAGGAAGCUGCCAAGAGGACGGUAUCUGAGGACAGGCUUUGGGUCUGGGCUGUGGGCACAGGGGAAGUCAGGCUGCUGGCUGUGGUGGUCUGAAUGAGAUGUCCCCAUAGUCUCAGCUAUUUGGAUAUCUGGUCCCAGCUGGUAGUGUUGUUUGGGGAGGGUUAGGUGUGGCUUUGUUGGAGGAAGCAGGUCCACUGGAGGCCAGCUUUAAGAGUUUAAAGAUUCACCAUUUGGAGUGCACUCUCUAGGCUUCUUGCCUGCGGUUCCAGUCACCCCACCUGCUGCCUCCACUCCACCACCAUGGACUCUUAACUCUCUGGGACCACUGACUGUGACUUCCUCAGAUGCCAGGAGGGCAGGGCCUGCCUGGAUUUCUCUGUCUCUACCUCUCUGUCUGGUCCAGUCUCAGGAGAGAACUUGGGUUUUUUGUUUUGAGGCCAGCUCUUACGUGUGUAUCCCAGACUAGCUUCAAAUUCAACAUGUAGCCUCAAAAAUGACCUUGAACUUCUCUUCCUCCUGCUUCAGCCUCCUGCACUGGGAUUGUCGGAUUGUGAAUUACCAGGGACCAAAGCGAGAACGUGGGCCUAAAGCGCUCUACCAAUUGUACUACACCACAGCCUACAAUUGGGACUCAAUUUUUUUUUUUUCUUUCUAAGGAACUCCUAUUUGAGCUGUCCACCCAAGUCAGGAUCUCUCACUGCCCCCUCCCUUCCGAAGUCACCUGCUUUGGUCUUUCCCAGCCUGAAGACUAGCACCUCCUCCUCGGGGAGGGGGCUUUGGAAUCUGAGUUGCGAUCACGGCAGUUGAGCUCUGGAGCCAGCCACUUCUGAAGCACAGAAGACAUCAAGGAAACUGUCAGGACCUGCGAAGUCCUGAGAGUUCCCAGGAAGCCUCCAUCGGCUCUGGGACAAUCACCUUGCAAUAGAGGCUGAAAGAGUUUGUUUUUCACAAACUGUAGGCAAGGGUGAGUUGAUCCAGGCUGAUCUUCGCUGACCAAGAAAUGGGCUUGGUUGGUGCAUACUGAGCUCAACUGCUCUUGCCUGGGCUUAGCUGAGCCAAGCUAAUCUCCACUGAUCCGCCCUGGACUCAGCUGUUAUAUACUGUGAUCUGCUGAUCCAAGCUGAGAUGUCUGACCUAAACUGGCCUCAGCUGGCCCAGGUUGGACUCUGCUGGUUCAAACUCAUUCAGCUGAUCCCAUCUGAGUUUGGCUGGUGUGGAGUAGCCCAGGGUAGCCCCACUCAUGUUGGUGAGUUUGCUGAGCUGAUCUAAAUUGGCUUCACUGGGAUCACGUCCAUCGGGGUAGCCUGGGCUAAUUCUCACAGCAGAGGCAGAACCCCAAGAAAGGAGGCCAGUGAGUCAAGGCCCCCUAGGUGCUAGACUCAGAACAAUGACUUUCUGGUGAAAGGAACAGUGCUGUACUGUGAGGCCUGGAUGGAUGGGUGUGGGCAAACAAUUGGGGCCGUGUUUGCAACCCAUCAUUUACACCUACCUGGAACAUUCUUCUCCCCCAAAGAGGCAGGCAUGACCUAAAAGUAUUAGGGGACAGAAUAUUGGGUCACCUGCCCAGCCUGGCCACUUUUCUUUAAGUAGGACAAACCCCAAAAGACUUCAGAGGCAUUCCUUACAAGCCCACAUCCUAGAGAUGAGAAAUGGAGACCUAGACAGGGAGGGAACUGGCCCAAGGCCAUAUCCGGGCCUCCCAGCCCACUUUCCUUCUGGGAACCAAGCCAUGGCCCCUUAAGAAUGUAGGAGGCUCAGGCAGUGAGCUCAGGGCUCAGGGCUGGAUCAACAGAUGUUCUAAAUAGGGAGGAGGUGGAAGGUAAUGGGACUGAGCGUGAGCCAUAGAUAAAUGGAGACAGCUGGGUGUGGUGGCACACUUGGAAGGUACAGGCAGGAGGGUCUGGAGGAUCAGGAGUUCAAGGCCAUCCUGGGCUACAUGAAACCCUAACUAAGGGGCAGGGGUAUGAAAUCUAUAGAUAUGGGCCCUGUGGUAGGGGAUUAGGCAGGAUUUGUAUACAGUUCCUCUAUCUGCUUUUGUUUAUUUCCGUUUUUCUUUUUAAAUUUUUAAAUGUGCUAUAAUAUUACUCUGUG
Molecule: long non-coding RNA, 2322 nt
Organism: Peromyscus leucopus (white-footed mouse)
Lineage: Eukaryota; Metazoa; Chordata; Mammalia; Rodentia; Cricetidae
Exons: 3
Source: RefSeq, a predicted model, not a curated record